This 73-nucleotide transfer RNA is filed under the name Sphaerodactylus townsendi. Its description in RNAcentral is "tRNA-Ala". Lineage: Eukaryota; Metazoa; Chordata; Lepidosauria; Squamata; Sphaerodactylidae. The record is from RNAcentral.
GGUGGCUGUGGCUUAGUGAUACAGCUUCUGUUUUGCAUGCUGAAGGUUCGAAGUUCAAUCCCUGGCAUCUCCU